Molecule: ribosomal RNA, 264 nt
Filed under: uncultured bacterium
Lineage: Bacteria
Description: partial 16S ribosomal RNA
Rfam family: Bacterial small subunit ribosomal RNA
Source: RNAcentral
GUCCACGCCGUAAACGAUGGGCACUAGGCGCUGGUGGGAGCGACCCCUUCAGUGCCGUAGCUAACGCGAUAAGUGCCCCGCCUGGGGAGUACGGCCGCAAGGCUGAAACUCAAAGGAAUUGACGGGGCCCGCACAAGCGGUGGAGCAUGUGGUUUAAUUCGAAGCAACGCGAAGAACCUUACCUGGGUUUGACAUGCACGGGAAACCCUCUUGAAAGAGGGGGCCUCCUUCGGGACCCGUGGACAGGUGCUGCAUGGCUGUCGU